Molecule: ribosomal RNA, 497 nt
Filed under: uncultured bacterium
Lineage: Bacteria
Description: partial 16S ribosomal RNA
Rfam family: Bacterial small subunit ribosomal RNA
Source: RNAcentral
GAUGAACGCUGGCGGCGUGCCUAAUACAUGCAAGUCGAGCGAACGGACGAGAAGCUUGCUUCUCUGAUGUUAGCGGCGGACGGGUGAGUAACACGUGGAUAACCUACCUAUAAGACUGGGAUAACUUCGGGAAACCGGAGCUAAUACCGGAUAAUAUUUUGAACCGCAUGGUUCAAAAGUGAAAGACGGUCUUGCUGUCACUUAUAGAUGGAUCCGCGCUGCAUUAGCUAGUUGGUAAGGUAGCGGCUUACCAAGGCAACGAUGCAUAGCCGACCUGAGAGGGUGAUCGGCCACACUGGAACUGGGACACGGUCCAGACUCCUACGGGAGGCAGCAGUAGGGAAUCUUCCGCAAUGGGCGAAAGCCUGACGGAGCAACGCCGCGUGAGUGAUGAAGGUCUUCGGAUCGUAAAACUCUGUUAUUAGGGAAGAACAUAUGUGUAAGUAACUGUGCACAUCUUGACGGUACCUAAUCAGAAAGCCACGGCUAACUACGUG